This 301-nucleotide ribosomal RNA is filed under the name uncultured bacterium. Its description in RNAcentral is "partial 16S ribosomal RNA". It matches the Rfam family "Bacterial small subunit ribosomal RNA", at positions 509 to 807 of the family's 1533-position model. The record is from RNAcentral.
CAGCCGCCACGGGAAUACGAAGGGGGCUAGCGUUGUUCGGAUUUACUGGGCGUAAAGCGCACGUAGGCGGAUCCUUAAGUCAGAGGCGAAAUCCCAAGGCUCAACCUUGGAACUGCCUUUGAUACUGGGGAUCUCGAGUUCGGGAGAGGUGAGUGGAACUGCGAGUGUAGAGGUGAAAUUCGUAGAUAUUCGCAAGAACACCAGUGGCGAAGGCGGCUCACAGGCCCGAUACUGACGCUGAGGUGCGAAAGCGUGGGGAGCAAACAGGAUUAGAUACCCGCGUAGUCCCUGUCUCUUAUAC